RNAcentral lists this transfer RNA (69 nucleotides) under Ibalia leucospoides. Its description in RNAcentral is "tRNA-Lys". Lineage: Eukaryota; Metazoa; Arthropoda; Insecta; Hymenoptera; Ibaliidae. The record is from RNAcentral.
UAUUAUGUAUCUUAAUAAAGUAAUGAUUUUUUAAAUCAUUUAUAGUAAUCUUAAAUUUACUCUUAAUAA